GGUUCGUGACGCCUCUGGUGAGGCGAGUGGCUUGUCACGCCAUCGAGACGGGUUCGACUCCCGUACGAACCG
Molecule: transfer RNA, 72 nt
Filed under: Archangium sp.
Lineage: Bacteria; Pseudomonadati; Myxococcota; Myxococcia; Myxococcales; Archangiaceae
Also listed under: 1 other name
Description: tRNA-Asp
Rfam family: tRNA
About the family: Transfer RNA (tRNA) molecules are approximately 80 nucleotides in length.
Source: RNAcentral